Molecule: long non-coding RNA, 841 nt
Organism: Arabidopsis lyrata subsp. lyrata
Lineage: Eukaryota; Viridiplantae; Streptophyta; Magnoliopsida; Brassicales; Brassicaceae
Exons: 4
Source: RefSeq, a predicted model, not a curated record
CUUUCUCAGAUCGUUGAAGAAACAGUUUCUUGCGUCUAGGCUCGUCGGCUUCCUUCGAUUCCGGCGAUGGACGUUUCACGGGGCUGGUGGUUGAGGUGGUUGAAGAGGAGCUGAAAGAUCCGAAGUUGAAGAUGGUGCCAGAUACUUCGUCGACGACUUCAAUCUCUCUCUCUCUCGACCGCCGCUUUAUCCCUCUCAGUCUCCCUCUCUCUUUUUCCCCCUUUCCUUCGAUUUUGUCAUAAACCCUAAUUUUACUUCUUUAUUUCGUCUUGUUUUUGCUACAGGUUAUCCUAAGAGAUUUAAAUCGAGAAGGGAAAAAAUCUCUGAGCUUCUUUUCUCUUGUAGAGUGAAUCGAUGCAUCAGAUGCGACCAUCUCGAGCUUACGAUUCCUGGGGACGACGAAGAGGGAGAGGCUAAUUUGGGAUGUGGAGUCGCCGGUGAUGAUGGUGUUACGAGGGUUGAUGUUGAUGAAGAUUAUGAAGAAGCUGGUGGUAGUAAAGAGAGCAAAGCUAAUAGAUUAUAGAUGAGCCAAUCUCGGUGUUGCUCGAAUCCUUGAGAAAGCUUCAAUUGAUGUCUUUGAAUUUGGAUAUUCUUAAGAGUACUGAAAUCGGAAAGGCUGUUAAUGGUUUGAGGAAACAUGGGUUUUGAUAAGAUUCGCCAACUCGCAAAGACUAUUAUCCUUGAAUGGAAGGAGUUGGUAGCAGAAACUCAAAGCUUUUGAUGCAGACGCAAGAAGUGAUGAAAAGCUCCAGGACCUUAACAAGAAGUGAGUGUGGGAAUCAAAGAGUUUUAGUCGUAUUCUUGAGCAGGGAAGUAACGGUUUUAAUCCUUCUUUGUUCAU